Molecule: non-coding RNA, 82 nt
Organism: Podarcis lilfordi (Lilford's wall lizard)
Lineage: Eukaryota; Metazoa; Chordata; Lepidosauria; Squamata; Lacertidae
Source: the annotation of a GenBank genome assembly
CUGAUGGUGGCGCAGUGGGUCAGUGUGUCUGACUGUUAACCAGAAGGUUGAUGUUUCAAACCCACCCAAUCCUGUGGACAGG